AGCAUCUAAGCGCCAAGCCCCCCUGAAGAUUAGGUAUCCCAUUAAGACUCCCGGAAGACUACCGGGUUGAUAGGCCGGAGGUGUAAGGUCAGUGAUGGCUUCAGCUAACCGGUACUAAUCAGUCGAUCGGCUUGACCACCUUUUUCU
RNAcentral lists this ribosomal RNA (147 nucleotides) under Lentisphaeria bacterium. Its description in RNAcentral is "partial 23S ribosomal RNA". It matches the Rfam family "Bacterial large subunit ribosomal RNA", at positions 2776 to 2925 of the family's 2925-position model. The record is from RNAcentral. Lineage: Bacteria; Pseudomonadati; Lentisphaerota; Lentisphaeria.